CUACGGGAGGCAGCAGUGGGGAAUUUUCCGCAAUGGGCGAAAGCCUGACGGAGCAAUACCGCGUGAGGGAGGAAGGCUCUUGGGUUGUAAACCUCUUUUCUCAGGGAAGAACAAAAUGACGGUACCUGAGGAAUAAGCAUCGGCUAACUCCGUGCCAGCAGCCGCGGUAAUACGGAGGAUGCAAGCGUUAUCCGGAAUUAUUGGGCGUAAAGCGUCCGCAGGUGGCAGUUCAAGUCUGCUGUCAAAGGUCAGGGCUCAACCCUGAACAGGCAGUGGAAACUGAACAGCUAGAGUGCGGUAGGGGCAGAGGGAAUUCCCAGUGUAGCGGUGAAAUGCGUAGAGAUUGGGAAGAACACCGGUGGCGAAAGCGCUCUGCUAGGCCUGCACUGACACUCAGGGACGAAAGCUAGGGGAGCGAAUGGGAUUAGAUACCCCAGUAGUCCUAGCCGUAAACGAUGGAUACUAGGCGUAGCUUGUAUCGACCCAAGCUGUGCCGUAGCUAACGCGUUAAGUAUCCCGCCUGGGGAGUACGCGCGCAAGCGUGAAACUCAAAUGAAUUGACGG
RNAcentral lists this ribosomal RNA (564 nucleotides) under uncultured cyanobacterium. RNAcentral's name for it is "bacterial SSU rRNA". It matches the Rfam family "Bacterial small subunit ribosomal RNA", at positions 339 to 916 of the family's 1533-position model. Lineage: Bacteria; Bacillati; Cyanobacteriota. The record is from RNAcentral.